Molecule: non-coding RNA, 100 nt
Organism: Ceratotherium simum simum (southern white rhinoceros)
Lineage: Eukaryota; Metazoa; Chordata; Mammalia; Perissodactyla; Rhinocerotidae
Source: RefSeq, a predicted model, not a curated record
UCACGAUCACGACCAUAGCCAUCUCUAUCACUAGAGUAAAGAGAGAAACAUGUAAAUCCCGAGGCAUCGAUUUUUACAGCAAUUUCACAUCAAGGCGUGA